RNAcentral lists this transfer-messenger RNA (226 nucleotides) under Gemmatimonadota bacterium. RNAcentral describes it as "Gemmatimonadetes bacterium partial transfer-messenger RNA". It matches the Rfam family "transfer-messenger RNA", at positions 141 to 374 of the family's 374-position model. From Rfam's summary of the family: Bacterial tmRNA, also known as 10Sa RNA or SsrA, is named for its dual tRNA and mRNA-like properties. Its role is to liberate the mRNA from a stalled ribosome. Lineage: Bacteria; Pseudomonadati; Gemmatimonadota. The record is from RNAcentral.
CCCGCUUCCCGGCCCGCCCGCCCGAGGCGGACCGCGGAGGCGUCGACGAUUCGGGCUGGUUCACCGGUUCACGCCGCGGAAUCGGGGAACGAGACACUCGCGUGGCUAGCCCCGGCAGGUCGGUUCACCGGAUCUGCCGGAGGUGAAGACAAUCGGUGAUCUACGCACGUAGAGGUCUCGCAGGAUCCAUUCGCGGACGCGGGUUCGACUCCCGCCGCCUCCACUC